Molecule: ribosomal RNA, 148 nt
Filed under: uncultured archaeon
Lineage: Archaea
Description: partial 16S ribosomal RNA
Rfam family: Archaeal small subunit ribosomal RNA
Source: RNAcentral
ACGGGGCGCAGCAGGCGCGAAAACUUCACACUGCAGGAAACUGUGAUGAGGGAACUCCAAGUGUGUGCAUUUUAUGUACACUUUUCUGAACUCUUAAUCGGUUCAGGAAUAAGGGCUGGGAAAGACCGGUGCCAGCAGCCGCGGUAAU